AGCAGCCGCGGUAAUUCCAGCUCCAAUAGCGUAUAUUAAAGUUGUUGCAGUUAAAAAGCUCGUAGUUGAAUUUCGGAAUCUGUUCGUCGGUCGGGCUUCACUGUCCGUACUGGUGUGGUGGGUUCUUACCUUCUGAAUAACCAGCAUGCCAUUCACUUGGUGCGCUGGGGAAGCAGGACUAUUACCUUGAAAAAUUAGAGUGCUCAAAGCAGGCUAGUGCCUGAAUACAUUAGCAUGGAAUAAUAAAAUAGGACGGCAUGGUUCUAUUUUGUUGGUUUCUAGGAUCACCGUAAUGAUUAAUAGGGAUAGUUGGGGGCAUUAGUAUUCAAUUGCCAGAGGUGAAAUUCUUGGAUUUAUUGAAGACUAACUUCUGCGAAGGCAUUUGCCAAGGAUGUUUUCAUUAAUCAAGACGAAAGUUAGGGGAUCGAAGACGAUCAGAUACCGUCGUAG
Molecule: ribosomal RNA, 450 nt
Filed under: uncultured Acaulospora
Lineage: Eukaryota; Fungi; Glomeromycota; Glomeromycetes; Diversisporales; Acaulosporaceae
Description: SSU rRNA
Rfam family: Eukaryotic small subunit ribosomal RNA
Source: RNAcentral